RNAcentral lists this small RNA (73 nucleotides) under Xanthomonas campestris pv. badrii. RNAcentral's name for it is "sX9 sRNA". It matches the Rfam family "Xanthomonas sRNA sX9". Lineage: Bacteria; Pseudomonadati; Pseudomonadota; Gammaproteobacteria; Lysobacterales; Lysobacteraceae. RNAcentral also lists the same sequence under 1 other name. The record is from RNAcentral.
AUGUACCACUCGUGCACUCCGGUUCCAAGCGCGCCGUCCACACGCACCGGCGGCUGGCUGCGUUUUGUUAGCC